Cherax quadricarinatus is the source of this 2012-nucleotide non-coding RNA. The record is from RefSeq and is a predicted model, not a curated record. Lineage: Eukaryota; Metazoa; Arthropoda; Malacostraca; Decapoda; Parastacidae.
UAACGGUCGUACUGAGCCAGACUUUUUUUUAUUGUUAUUAACCAAGUGGGCGUGGUUUUUACCUUUAAUUAACAAAAUCAUAAGCUCUUGUUUUUCUAUAAUCCCCCAUGUAUAUAUAAACAUAUUUUUUUAUACGGCCAAGUUAGAGUCUGUGUAGCCUGAACUAAGGGAGGCAAAGCCCAACACGGCUCACAUUGUCAUAGCCUUUAAAUACAACCUUCCCCCUCCCCCCCAUCCCUCUGGAGUGGCACUGGUGAAGAAAAGAAACAGUGAUCACAUCUAACAAGAUGUGAAUUGUAUUUGUUCCUGAAUUGUCAUAUGAUUUAUUCUGCCAUUCUUUUAAUAUUGUAAAUUGACAUAGUUGAAUUCUGUUGAAAGUCACAAAAUAUUGCAUUUGUAAAAUGAACGGUGAUGAAACUCGUGAUGACGACGAUAUAUCAUCAGUUACCGGCCAUCAUUUGGAUUUAUCACAGAGCAGUGGAAUAAUGUCUCUUCCAUCAGGAAACAAGUUAGCAGAUUUAAGUAUAACUACAGACAUCACAGAUUCUGAGACAGAAAAUGAAGAAACUGUCCUUGGUUCAAAUAAUCAAAGUAAAAUGAAGAACGAGUUGCAUUGUCCUGCACAUGGAGAUACACCUGCAGUAACAGCCGGUGCUAGUUUACAACCAAGCAUCCUGACUGUUCUGCCUAGAUCAAAUGAAUCUCUUGGAAAUUUUGAUAAUGAAAGAUCAGAUGCUGAAAAGAGGAAUGGUAACUAUAUGCAAACUGACAAACUUCCAGUCAGCACUGCUGAUUCAGCUAUUCUGAAAGUUAAUAAUGCCUCUUUGAAGUUGGCUCCUAUGGCCUCUUAUUCUACUGUGCCUGUUGCUGAGAAUGAAGAAGAACCCUUGACUAUGAAUACUCUGUCCCUUGACGAUGUUAAGUCUGCACUGCAGAAAAAUUGUAAUCUUCUGAGUGACAGACACUUGCUAAAUGAUCUACUCAAGUCUUUAGAUGAUGAAAUUGGUAACAAUUCUGUUAUCACAUCUAACGUCUUGAGUUCUCAUACAAAUCCAACAAUUUUUGUGCCACCCAACAGAGACCCAGGACCUAGCCUAGGGUGGAAAUCAUCAAACAGUUCAAAUAAAGGUAUUUUGGCACAAAAUGUUACUGAGUCUGUAUCUGAUAGUUCAUCAGUACCUUUAACAUGUGAUCCAUUUCAUAUGCAAACAUACAAAAGCUCUUCAUUAAUUGAUAUUCCUGUUUUGAGUAUGAUAAAUAGUCAAAUAUAUUUACCAAAUAAUGGCUCGAGCUAUGAACCACAAGAUCCUGUGAGACCUCGAGCAAACACUCGUAUUCAAAAUAAUCAUAAUAACCUGGAAGUAAUAUCAGAAGAAACAAGUUAUGAUGGACAUUUAUUUAGCUCCAAUUCAUUCACAAAGAUUGCUGACUUUGUAGAAGAAUCUGUUUGUGAUAAGAAUCCGGAAAAGCAUGUCAAUUUUCAACACCUAUGGGUAGAAGAGGUGAAUCCCAGUAAAGUGGUCAAGAAUGACAAACCUACAUCAAGUCAGCCAGAAGUAAGAGUCAAAGAGACUUCAAUGUGCGAUACACAGGCUCAUAAAAUUUUGAAGCAGCUUUCAGGUUUGAGGUGGAGACUUAUGGGCUGGGAGGAAGUAGGUGCCAGUCCACCAACAGACAGCAGGAGCUCACUUGCUUUUAUUCAUCAGCUCUUAAAUAUGCUCCAGGUUCAUCAAAUAGAGAAGAAGAAUUUAUGCACACUCCAGUACAACCAUCGACUUCAGUACCAGAACCUCUACCAUCCACCUCAGCCCUGUAGGGCCACAGCAUAACUCCCCACUCUCUUUACAAUCAUUGACAAACACCAGCACCCACAAUUUAAGCACCUUGAGGAAGAAGUCAUGACAACAAAGGCAUUACUGAAAAAAAUGAGCGAUGAAGUCUACAUUCGGCAAAGUAUGUAUGAAAAGAGGGAAACCCGACUCCUUGAGGCUGAUAACCAACUAGGUGUCAUU